This 467-nucleotide ribosomal RNA is filed under the name uncultured bacterium. RNAcentral's name for it is "partial 16S ribosomal RNA". It matches the Rfam family "Bacterial small subunit ribosomal RNA", at positions 28 to 507 of the family's 1533-position model. The record is from RNAcentral.
GACGAACGCUGGCGGCGUGCUUAACACAUGCAAGUCGAACGGAAAGGCCUCUUUCUUGGUUUACUCGUGUUGCGAACGGGUGAGUAACACGUGCGUAACCUGCCCUUGACUUUGGGUUAACUUCAUUCAACUGGGGCUAAUACCGGAUAGGAGCUCCUGCUGCAUGGUGGGUGUUGGAAAGUUUCGGCGGUUAGGGAUGGACUGUCGGCUUAUCCGCUUGUUUGUGGGGUAUUGGCUUACCAAGGCUUUGCCGGGUAGCCGGACAGAGAGGGUGAGAGGCGACAUAGGGACUGAGAGAAGGCACAGACUGGGACGGGAGGGAGAAGGGGGGAAGAUUGCAGAAUGGGUGGAAGGCGGAUGCAGCAACGCCGUGGGCGGGAUGACGGGCUUAGGGUUGUAAAACGCAUGCGCUAAUGACGAAGCUUAGUGUGACGGUAGUGGGUAAAGAAGCAACGGCUAACUACGUA